GCCCUCGUGGCCUAAUGGUUAAGGCGUUGGACUUCUAUGAUUACCUCAUCUUGGGAUCCAAAGAUUGCGAGUUCAAAUCUCGCCGGGGGCU
Transfer RNA from Dacryopinax sp., 91 nucleotides. It matches the Rfam family "tRNA". From Rfam's summary of the family: Transfer RNA (tRNA) molecules are approximately 80 nucleotides in length. Their secondary structure includes four short double-helical elements and three loops (D, anti-codon, and T loops). The record is from Rfam. NCBI's taxonomy places the organism in Eukaryota, Fungi, Basidiomycota, Dacrymycetes, Dacrymycetales, Dacrymycetaceae.